RNAcentral lists this small nuclear RNA (19 nucleotides) under Arabidopsis thaliana (thale cress). Its description in RNAcentral is "snRNA_18080". Lineage: Eukaryota; Viridiplantae; Streptophyta; Magnoliopsida; Brassicales; Brassicaceae. The record is from RNAcentral.
AAUCCUUUGGUCAAGGGUA